CAAGCCAGUUAGAAAUUACACAGGUAGGAGGUCUGAGGGCUCUAGAACUGGUUCCACCCCCACCCAGUGAACCGAACAGUUUCAUUUUCACAGCAAACUAGAAAGGAACUUUUUAAUAGCUUUCUUCAAAAGUCAUUAUACCAGACUAAAACUGAUAACAGACAGGAAAUCCCUGCUGCUUUGUUUAUUUAUUUGUUAGCUGAAAAGUGGGUUCUGAAUGGCAUUUUUUAAGUGGGAAGUGGCUGUAUUUCACAGGUGGGCUUUGCUUUUCCUUGGAUCAUUUCUAAGUCCAUUAGGCUCAAUUUUAUAAGACAUAUUUUGUUAGUAUUUCUUUGUCUCCAUUUCUUUAGUCAGACAUCUUCAUUAGCACCCAAAAUAAAAAUGACAACCCGAAGCCUUAUAAAAGCAGAUGUGCAACCAUACCCUAAGUAGCAGUUCCAUAUUACUUACUGAAGGGUUCCCAGUUGCUACAGGCUCUGAGAACUCAUCAUACUUACUCUGAAAAUUGUGCAUGCAGAUGGAAAAGUGUGAAAAACAGAAGGUGCCUUUUCCUCCAUCAACAACAUUCAAGAUAAAUGUUAAUACCUUGUCUAGAUUUGCACCAGGUGGAAAUCUGUCAUUUUGUUACACUGGCCGUAGGCCUGGCACAUAAGAUGUAGCUAUUUUCCAAAGCAACACACCUUUUGUUUUACUUUCACCUGUGCCUGGAUUCUUAAGACUCUAAAGUCUUUAUUGUAGGCUAUUAGAGCUGAGUGACUGUUGUCUUCUGUUACUGACAAUCAUAAAAAAAACAAAAAACAAAACAAAAAAAAAAACACCAACACAAAUCAAUAUCAAUAAAGUAAACAAUCUACUGUGCUGGCUGUACAUGAGAUUAGUUAAGCCUCUGAAAGGCCUGCAGCAAACAGGGUUAUAUACCCGCAAGAUCAUCCACGCUAACAGCCGAGAUAAAAAUGUUGCACCUAUGUCACACCAGAGCUAGUGAAGCAAAGAAGGUAUCGAAUCAGAAGAGGUGCUGAAAGAGUAUAAAGACCAACAGUGUAAAGGAUGGGACCGGGCAAGGAAUGGAAGAUUCAAAAAUACUGGCUGAAUUAAGAGCAAAUCUGGAUAUUCAGCUACUAAUUUAAAAACCCAUAUGCUUGUGACCUUUGCUUGUUCAUUUUACACACCGAUCUUGCAAGCCUUCUCUAAAGGAGAUAUGCUGCCUUUGAGUUAAGGGGUUUUUUUUGUGGGGAAGAGGGAGGAGCAGAAGAGAGAAAAAAUAAAAAGAAAUAAAUCAAAACAAAAGGAGCUCUUACUUUGGCUUGAAGAUUGGCUACCAAAUCUUGGACCGCACCCACCAAGAAGGACUCUUCAUCUCUUGCUCUUGAUCCUAAGAAUGAUGCAAUGCUGACUUCCCACACAACAGGGAAUGAAAUUAUGGCGUAACAACUUGCUUCUCACUCAGACUCGAGAACUGAGUGUUGCCUAGGUCACAAUAGAUGGACCGUUUCCUACUGUUCCUGCUCUUCCUCUCCCAUCUUUGGACAGCUGAUGAUCCACACCUGUGGAGAUUGGUUCUGCCAGCACUGGAGACUUACAGUCUUUUUUAGGAACCGCUGAAAGUUGGGUUUCUCAUGGUGCAAGAGCUCACAUAGGGUCUCCAGUUCCCAGAAGAGACCACUUGGGUUACGUGUUGUCUGCUUUACCUCUCAACAAGCAUUUGAAGGGGUGAGGAAGAGAAGGGAAGGCAGAGAGAGGGAAGGACUGCUGCUCUACAAGAAGGGUGGGAGAGAAUCAAAUUCCUGUGGGUACUUCUUUGCACACAGACUUACUUCCUGAUAUGGAAAAUCUCAAACAUGACCUUGAAUUCCCUGUAAGGUGUAUCCUGACUGUUGUUUAGUUUAGGAGAUUAAUUUUCUCAUACUAUUUCAUAUGCUACCAUGAUCUCUUUUCUCCUGUACAAUAUUCUCAUCUUUUUGUCUAUCUAGCAAAAUCUGGCUAUAUUGACUUACAGACUAUCUGAGUACAUAGAUUGCUCUAGAACUUUGUGCAAGCCUGUUGUCUACCAUUGGGUGUACGCCAUAGGAGGUCAAGACCCUACAGCCUUUUUAAGGGAUGUGACUGUUUAUAGGAUCUCUGGAGCAGUAUCUUCUCCACCUGCUUUUUCCAAGCAUGCUGCUACUCUUGGGGCUUCAAGAGGGAACACUCAGCAGAGCAGUCUCCUGUUGACUGACCUCUCAAAACACCCAGGAUCAACUUGGGUUUGUGAGUUGCUCACAGGAGCAAUGUUCUCCAGGGUGUGUUGUACCUGUGCCUAUUACCUACUUCUCAUGUCCCUCCACCUAAGAAUGGGUUGGAAAACUGGGGAUUCUGGGGUUCAGGUGGAUUUUUGCAAGUCACAGUCAACCUGUUUACAUCUCUACACGCAACCACAACAGAGCACAGUCAUGUUUGGUCCUGAUAAGAUACAAGCCUUGAGCUCUGAGUGCUCGUUUGCAUGCCUUCCUGCCAUGUGAAAGCAAGUUACUGCCUAAGAAAAUGCAAAUGCUUUGUACUGUAUGACAAAUACUGUAAAUCAGAAGUUGUGGUAAUUAUCUCACAUGAAGUCCUCUAAGAACGAACAAAAUACCGAUGGUCUAGUUAAAUGCUUAUGAAUCACUACCCAGUAAAAAAUGACACCACCUGUCACAUUUCAUGUACCUUCUUGGGAAAUGGGGAGAACGUACUGAACUGAGGCAGCUAGUGACUGUGUUGUACAGUGGUUAUUAUAUGACACCAGGAGAUGUAUUAUACUGCACAUUCCUUUCAGGCAGAGAAACACAGUAGAAACUGCACAGCAGACACAUCACUAGGAAAAGAAAUCUUUAAAAUGAUAGUUUAAGUAACAAAAACAUGCUUUUUUUUUUUUUUUUGCAUGCAGCAAGUAGAACACAAUUUAGAUAUCUUUCUUUAUAAAUUUAAUAAAUACAUGCAGAAAUUGCAUGUAGAUACACAGUAGUGACUAUUGCCUUAUUAAUAGAUUGUAAGGUGUAGGUAAGAAUGAACAAUCCAGGGGUGUUUUUAACAAUGUUUCUGAAACAAAGCAGUAAAUGAAAGGAAAGCAUUCAGGAACGUGAAUGAGCUGCCACUCCAGCUGGGAAUGUAGGCUUUGGCAUUGGCAUUUAUAGCCUAUGUAAGUAAUGUUUAUGCAAAAUCACACGACUCUAGGGUUGUGUGCUAAAUAGUCCAAAGAGAGUAAAAUGGAAUACAGUAUACACUGUGUUGUGCCUCUAUUAAGGCAUUUAACAGAAUAGAAGUCAGUAAGCAGAGGAGUAGUCCCACUAAGAUCUGAAUGAGCGAGCCUUUAAAAAUCUAUUCAAAACAUACCCUGUUCUGUUGCGUAUCAGGAAAUAUCAGAGAUUUUUUUUUCUCCAUCAGUUUGAUUUAUGUUAUUUUGAUAUUGCUCGGUAGUUUCAUUGAUGGCUGUAUUGGGCCUGGCUGAGAUGGAAUUAAUUUUCCCCACAGCAGCCCUCACAGCGCUGUGCUUCGUGUCGGCAUCUGGAGAGGUGCUGGUAACACCCCGGUGCAUUGGCUACUGCUGAGCAGCGCUCGCGCGGCAUCAGGGCUGUCUCUCCAGCAUCCCCCCUCACCGGCAGGCUGGGGGUGGGCGAGAUAUUGGGAAGGGACACAGCCAGGACAGCUGACCCAAACUGACCAAAGGGAUGUUCCACACCAUAUGACGUCUGCUCAGCAAUACAAACUAAGGGAAAGAGGCUGGAGAGUGAGGGGGAGCAUUCAUCAUUACAAGGUUUGUCUUCCAUGUCAACUGCUAGGUGUACUGAAGCCCUGCAUCCUGGGAAGUGGCUGGGCACCUCCUGCUGAUGGGAAGCAGAGAAUAAAUCUUUUGUUUUCCUUUGCUUCCAUGUGCAGCCUUUGCUUUUGCUUUGUUAAACUGUGUUUAUCUUGACCCAAGAGGUUUUUUCCAUCUUAUUCUCCCCACCUCUAUUCUGCCAAGGACAGGAGUGGUAGAGCAGCUGGGUGUGCGCCUGGCAUCCAGCCACAGUCAACCCACCACUGAUGGCACAAUAGGAUUUAGAAGACUGAAAUGAUGUAACAGAAUGGGAAGGAAACUUUCAAACACCAAUCUUAUAAAGCAAGAAAUAGCAGGUAUUUUGCACAAAAACAGUUUUGAGAAAAUGCUGUUGUAUAAUAAUCAAUAUUAACCAAUUUUACUGUCUUUGGAAAAUUACUUUUUUCCCCAGCUGGUCUGUACAUGAGGCUUCUAAACCUAUCUGUCAAAGUUCAUUCAGAUCAGCUAAAACAUAAACUGAUAUAUAAAUAAAACACAGUUUGAGGUUCUACCAGUUCUGUGUCUCAUUGUGUGAAUCUUGUCUGACUGAGAGACGUCAUGUGUCAGCACAGUCAUGUUUAUUCAGAUGAGUGACUUGCUUCUACCAACAAGAAACUUGUAACUGCUUUGUUGUUGACGGUUGUAUUUGUAAGGGCAUGAUGAAUAAGCUUCACAUGUUUCUAUUAAUACAAAAUUGGCUGUCAUUGAUAUCAAUAUUUGCUGUUCAAUAAAGUGAGAAAUAAUUUAGAUAACCACUUGAAAAUCAGUAGAAAGUUCUCAAAUAUACAUUGAAGUAUAGAUUUGGUUUUAAAAAUUCUCAGUUGUACAGUGCUCAUUUCUGUCAGGACAUGAACAGCUUGCUUGUUUUCUCAUUAUUUGCCAAUUGCAGUGGAAAU
Long non-coding RNA from Tyto alba (common barn owl), 4707 nucleotides. RefSeq lists it as uncharacterized. The transcript has 4 exons. The record is from RefSeq and is a predicted model, not a curated record. NCBI's taxonomy places the organism in Eukaryota, Metazoa, Chordata, Aves, Strigiformes, Tytonidae.